CUAUCCAUGGCCAGGUUGAAGGUGUGGUAACACACACUGGAGGACCGAACCGACUAGUGUUGCAAAAUUAGCGGAUGAGCUGUGGAUAGGGGUGAAAGGCUAAACAAAUCUGGAGAUAGCUGGUUCUCCCCGAAAACUAUUGAGGUAGUGCCUCGUGUAUGACUCCAGGGGGUAGAGCACUGUUAUGGCUAGGGGGACAUGGCGUCUUACCAAACCAUGGCAAACUCCGAAUACUUGGAAGUUUGAGCACGGGAGACAGAGCACCGGGUGCUAACGUCCGGACUCAAAAGGGAAACAACCCAGACCGCCGGCUAAGGUCCCUAAUAUUGACUAAGUGGAAAACGAAGUGGGAAGGCUAAGACAGUCAGGAAGUUGGCUUAGAAGCAGCCAUCCUUCAAAGAAAGCGUAAUAGCUCACUGAUCGAGUCUUCCUGCGCGGAAGAUGUAACGGGGCUAAGUCAAUAACCGAAGCCGCGGAUUCACGACUUGUCGUGAGUGGUAGGGGAGCGUUCUGUAAGCCUGCGAAGGCGGUUCGUAAGGACUGCUGGAGGUAUCAGAAGUGCGAAUGCUGACAUGAGUAACGUUAAAGCAGGUGAAAAGCCUGCUCGCCGUAAGCCCAAGGUUUCCUGCUCUACGUUCAUCGGAGCAGGGUGAGUCGGCCCCUAAGGCGAGGCUGAGAAGCGUAGCUGAUGGGAACAAGGUUAAUAUUCCUUGACCGCCGUUGAGUGCGAAGGGGGGACGGAGUGUUGAAGAUCAUCCGGGUGUUGGAUGUCCCGGUUUGUGAACGUAGGAGGCCGGCAGGCAAAUCCGCCGGCGUAUCUCCGAGGUGAAGCAUCGAGGUCCGUAUGGACCGAAGUGAUCGGAUGGGCUCCCAGGAAAAGCCUCUAAGCUCCAGCUCAACGGGACCGUACCGCAAACCGACACUGGUGGGCGAGCUGAAUAUGCUCAGGCGCUUGAGAGAACUCAGGAGAAGGAACUCGGCAAAUUGACACCGUAACUUCGGGAUAAGGUGUGCCUCGGUAGCGUGAAGGAAGAAACAUCCGGAGCGUGAAGAGGUCUCAGAGAAUCGGUGGCUGCGACUGUUUACUAAAAACACAGCACUCUGCAAAGACGAAAGUCGACGUAUAGGGUGUGAUGCCUGCCCGGUGCUGGAAGAUUAAUUGAUGGGGUGCAAGCUCCUGAUCGAAGUCCCAGUAAACGGCGGCCGUAACUAUAACGGUCCUAAGGUAGCGAAAUUCCUUGUCGGGUAAGUUCCGACCUGCACGAAUGGCAUAACGAUGGCCACACUGUCUCCUCCUGAGACUCAGUGAAGUUGAAGUGUUUGUGAUGAUGCAAUCUCCCCGCGGCUAGACGGAAAGACCCCAUGAACCUUUACUGUAGCUUUGCAUUGGACUUUGAACCGAUCUGUGUAGGAUAGGUGGGAGGCUGUGAAACCGGGACGCCAGUACCGGUGGAGCCGUCCUUGAAAUACCACCCUGAUUUGUUUGAGGUUCUAACCUAGGUCGGUGAUCCCGAUCGGGGACCGUGCAUGGUAGGCAGUUUGACUGGGGCGGUCUCCUCCUAAAGGGUAACGGAGGAGUGCGAAGGUACGCUAGGUACGGUCGGAAAUCGUGCUGAUAGUGCAAUGGCAAAAGCGUGCUUGACUGCGAGACCCACAAGUCGAGCAGAUACGAAAGUAGGUCAUAGUGAUCCGGUGGCUCUGUAUGGAAGGGCCAUCGCUCAACGGAUAAAAGGUACUCUGGGGAUAACAGGCUGAUACCGCCCAAGAGUUCAUAUCGACGGCGGUGUUUGGCACCUCGAUGUCGGCUCAUCUCAUCCUGGGGCUGUAGCCGGUCCCAAGGGUAUGGCUGUUCGCCAUUUAAAGAGGUACGUGAGCUGGGUUUAAAACGUCGUGAGACAGUUU
This 1902-nucleotide ribosomal RNA is filed under the name human gut metagenome. Its description in RNAcentral is "bacterial LSU rRNA". It matches the Rfam family "Bacterial large subunit ribosomal RNA", at positions 730 to 2632 of the family's 2925-position model. The record is from RNAcentral.